Molecule: ribosomal RNA, 497 nt
Filed under: uncultured bacterium
Lineage: Bacteria
Description: partial 16S ribosomal RNA
Rfam family: Bacterial small subunit ribosomal RNA
Source: RNAcentral
GAUGAACGCUGGCGGCGUGCCUAAUACAUGCGAGUCGAGCGAACAGACGAGGAGCUUGCUCCUCUGACGUUAGCGGCGGACGGGUGAGUAACACGUGGAUAACCUACCUAUAAGACUGGGAUAACUUCGGGAAACCGGAGCUAAUACCGGAUAAUAUAUUGAACCGCAUGGUUCAAUAGUGAAAGACGGUUUUGCUGUCACUUAUAGAUGGAUCCGCGCCGCAUUAGCUAGUUGGUAAGGUAACGGCUUACCAAGGCAACGAUGCGUAGCCGACCUGAGAGGGUGAUCGGCCACACUGGAACUGAGACACGGUCCAGACUCCGACGGGAGGCAGCAGUAGGGAAUCUUCCGCAAUGGGCGAAAGCCUGACGGAGCAACGCCGCGUGAGUGAUGAAGGUCUUCGGAUCGUAAAACUCUGUUAUUAGGGAAGAACAAAUGUGUAAGUAACUAUGCACGUCUUGACGGUACCUAAUCAGAAAGCCACGGCUAACUACGUG